Non-coding RNA from Salmo salar (Atlantic salmon), 54 nucleotides. NCBI's taxonomy places the organism in Eukaryota, Metazoa, Chordata, Actinopteri, Salmoniformes, Salmonidae. The record is from Rfam.
CACUGACUUGACUGUAAGUUGCUCUGGACAAGAGCGUCUGCUAAAUGACCAAAA